GUCUUCAGAACUCCGAUCUCUUACCUCCUCGUGGUGUCAGCUGGAAUGUGAACGUUAUACUUUUUAUGCAACGUUCAUAUACAGAAAGAGACGG
This is a non-coding RNA of Anopheles epiroticus, 94 nucleotides long. Lineage: Eukaryota; Metazoa; Arthropoda; Insecta; Diptera; Culicidae. The record is from Rfam.